This 29-nucleotide ribosomal RNA is filed under the name Fusarium oxysporum f. sp. momordicae. Its description in RNAcentral is "partial 18S ribosomal RNA". The record is from RNAcentral. Lineage: Eukaryota; Fungi; Ascomycota; Sordariomycetes; Hypocreales; Nectriaceae.
ACUGUAGGCUGAUGCAGGAGGGAUCAUUA